GGCUCAGGACGAACGCUGGCGGCGUGCCUAAUACAUGCAAGUCGAACGCUUCUUUCCUCCCGAGUGCUUGCACUCAAUUGGAAAGAGGAGUGGCGGACGGGUGAGUAACACGUGGGUAACCUACCCAUCAGAGGGGGAUAACACUUGGAAACAGGUGCUAAUACCGCAUAACAGUUUAUGCCGCAUGGCAUAAGAGUGAAAGGCGCUUUCGGGUGUCGCUGAUGGAUGGACCCGCGGUGCAUUAGCUAGUUGGUGAGGUAACGGCUCACCAAGGCCACGAUGCAUAGCCGACCUGAGAGGGUGAUCGGCCACACUGGGACUGAGACACGGCCCAGACUCCUACGGGAGGCAGCAGUAGGGAAUCUUCGGCAAUGGACGAAAGUCUGACCGAGCAACGCCGCGUGAGUGAAGAAGGUUUUCGGAUCGUAAAACUCUGUUGUUAGAGAAGAACAAGGACGUUAGUAACUGAACGUCCCCUGACGGUAUCUAACCAGAAAGCCACGGCUAACUACGUGCCAGCAGCCGCGGUAAUACGUAGGUGGCAAGCGUUGUCCGGAUUUAUUGGGCGUAAAGCGAGCGCAGGCGGUUUCUUAAGUCUGAUGUGAAAGCCCCCGGCUCAACCGGGGAGGGUCAUUGGAAACUGGGAGACUUGAGUGCAGAAGAGGAGAGUGGAAUUCCAUGUGUAGCGGUGAAAUGCGUAGAUAUAUGGAGGAACACCAGUGGCGAAGGCGGCUCUCUGGUCUGUAACUGACGCUGAGGCUCGAAAGCGUGGGGAGCAAACAGGAUUAGAUACCCUGGUAGUCCACGCCGUAAACGAUGAGUGCUAAGUGUUGGAGGGUUUCCGCCCUUCAGUGCUGCAGCAAACGCAUUAAGCACUCCGCCUGGGGAGUACGACCGCAAGGUUGAAACUCAAAGGAAUUGACGGGGGCCCGCACAAGCGGUGGAGCGUGUGGUUUAAUUCGAAGCAACGCGAAGAACCUUACCAGGUCUUGACAUCCUUUGACCACUCUAGAGAUAGAGCUUUCCCUUCGGGGACAAAGUGACAGGUGGUGCAUGGUUGUCGUCAGCUCGUGUCGUGAGAUGUUGGGUUAAGUCCCGCAACGAGCGCAACCCUUAUUGUUAGUUGCCAUCAUUUAGUUGGGCACUCUAGCGAGACUGCCGGUGACAAACCGGAGGAAGGUGGGGAUGACGUCAAAUCAUCAUGCCCCUUAUGACCUGGGCUACACACGUGCUACAAUGGGAAGUACAACGAGUCGCUAGACCGCGAGGUCAUGCAAAUCUCUUAAAGCUUCUCUCAGUUCGGAUUGCAGGCUGCAACUCGCCUGCAUGAAGCCGGAAUCGCUAGUAAUCGCGGAUCAGCACGCCGCGGUGAAUACGUUCCCGGGCCUUGUACACACCGCCCGUCACACCACGAGAGUUUGUAACACCCGAAGUCGGUGAGGUAACCUUUUUGGAGCCAGCCGCCUAAGGUGGGAUAGAUG
This 1481-nucleotide ribosomal RNA is filed under the name uncultured organism. Its description in RNAcentral is "SSU rRNA". It matches the Rfam family "Bacterial small subunit ribosomal RNA". The record is from RNAcentral.